AUACCAUGGUGAGGGCACUUCCUUUAUAGUUUCUGAAAUUCCUCCUAUGCCCCAUAGAGUGAAUCACCAUCCUUUUGAGUGAAGUUCUGAAUCUCCUUCCUAUGUCU
Molecule: small nucleolar RNA, 107 nt
Organism: Argentina anserina (silverweed cinquefoil)
Lineage: Eukaryota; Viridiplantae; Streptophyta; Magnoliopsida; Rosales; Rosaceae
Source: RefSeq, a predicted model, not a curated record